This 478-nucleotide ribosomal RNA is filed under the name uncultured bacterium. RNAcentral's name for it is "partial 16S ribosomal RNA". It matches the Rfam family "Bacterial small subunit ribosomal RNA", at positions 28 to 523 of the family's 1533-position model. The record is from RNAcentral.
GAUGAACGCUGACAGAAUGCUUAACACAUGCAAGUCUACCAAGAAUCACUUCGGUGAGGAAUGGUGGCGGACGGGUGAGUAACGCGUAAAUAAUCUGCCCUGUAGACUGGGAUAUACUUUGGAAACGAAGCUUAAUACCGGAUAUUAUGAAAUGGACGCAUGUUCAACUUAUGCAAGCUAAAUGCACUAGAGGAGGAGUUUGCGUCCCAUUAGCUAGUUGGUGAGGUAAAGGCUCACCAAGGCCACGAUGGGUAGCCGGCCUGAGAGGGUGAACGGCCAAAAGGGAACUGAGACACAGUCCUUACUCCUACGGGAGGCAGUAGUGGGGAAUAUUGGACAAUGGACCAAAAGUCUGAUCCAGCAAUUCUGUGUGCACGAUGAAGGUCUUCGGAUUGUAAAGUGCUUUCAGUAGGGAAGAAAAAAAUGACGGUACCUACAGAAGAAGCGACGGCUAAAUAUGUGCCAGCAGCCGCCGUAG